Molecule: long non-coding RNA, 473 nt
Organism: Engraulis encrasicolus (European anchovy)
Lineage: Eukaryota; Metazoa; Chordata; Actinopteri; Clupeiformes; Engraulidae
Exons: 3
Source: RefSeq, a predicted model, not a curated record
AUGUAAUGAAAUUAAAUGAACAGGUGAAAAGAAUAAAAGAAUUAAACAGGUGAACAGGUGAAAAGAAUGAAAUCUUAACUUAUAAAUAACGGUGUAUGCGCGUGCUUACCAUCCUCGAACCAUCUCCAUCAAUUGAGAAGCGUACUGAACUACUUCGCCACCUUUAAAAGUGUUUAAAUAGACAUUUAACUGCGAGAAAAUGCCUCGUUUGUGCUCCUUCUAUGGGUGCAACAAUAGGGCAAGACGUGGGAAAGCUUUCUUUUCUUUCCCGAAAGACGACAAGACACGUGAGAAGUGGCUUCACUGCACCCGGAGGGCAGACCUGCCAUCCAAUAUGACCGCUGAGGAGGCAAAAAGACGCGGAUACAUGAUCUGUGAAGACCAUUUCAGGCAGAAAGACAUACUUUUCAAAGGCAAAAGAACACGUCUGGCUCCAGGUGCCGUCCCGGUCAUUUUCAAGCAGCCGGUCAGUC